ACUCCUACGGGAGGCAGCAGUGGGGAAUAUUGCGCAAUGGGGGAAACCCUGACGCAGCAACGCCGCGUGAGUGAUGAAGGCCCUCGGGUCGUAAAGCUCUGUUGGGUGGGAAGAAUUUUGACGGUACCACCUGAGGAAGCACCGGCUAACUCCGUGCCAGCAGCCGCGGUAAUACGGAGGGUGCAAACGUUGUUCGGAAUCAUUGGGCGUAAAGAGCACGUAGGCGGCUCAUUAGGUCGGGUGUGAAAUCCCCGGGGCUUAACCCCGGAAUUGCGCUCGAAACCGGUGAGCUUGAAUCCUGGAGGGAGAAGUAGAAUUCCUGGUGUAGGGGUGAAAUCCGUAGAUAUCAGGAGGAAUACCAGUGGCGAAGGCGACUUCUUGGCCAAGGAUUGACGCUGAGGUGCGAAAGCGUGGGUAGCAAACAGGAUUAGAUACCCUGGUAGGAUA
Molecule: ribosomal RNA, 447 nt
Filed under: uncultured bacterium
Lineage: Bacteria
Description: bacterial SSU rRNA
Rfam family: Bacterial small subunit ribosomal RNA
Source: RNAcentral